Molecule: long non-coding RNA, 2330 nt
Organism: Bos taurus (domestic cattle)
Lineage: Eukaryota; Metazoa; Chordata; Mammalia; Artiodactyla; Bovidae
Source: Ensembl
GCCCAGGUUUGGGGUUAGAAAAAUAGGAGCGUGAUCUGGCCAGGACUCAGACAAAGGCCUGGGGGCUGGUUGACUAGGGGCAUCAGGUUACCCCUGCCACACAGUCGGCUCCCCCAGUAGCUCGUGGGGGUGUGUGCUUUCCCCCAAAGAUUAUAAUUAAAUGACUGAUCAGGGCCCCUGGCUGAGGCCUUGGCAGGAGGGUUUCAUUACAGGAAGGACUGCAGGUCCAGGGCUUCCAGGCCUGGGGAGGCGUGUCCCUGUGACAGUAAUAACACGAGCAGCAGUGAUCAUUCAGCCUGUGGAGUGCUUCCUGCCGGCCGGGCCCCAGGUGAACAAGGCCGCAUGCCUCAUUUCUCUUGCAGCUCUGAGAGGCAGGCCCCAGGUCCCAAAUAGGCAAACAGGGACUCGGAGACGCUUCAGAGCCCCCGGCUCACCUGGGGGUCACCCCCCUCACCCCUUCAGCAACGUCGGGGUGAGGGGGUGCAGAGUUGCCUCUGUGUUCUCUUCUAGAAAUGCGAAUCACCUGACCUCAUCGAGUUGUUGUGAAACUGAGUGGGCACGCAGGGAGGACGCAGAAGAUGCCCCUUCUCUUCCUUCCUUUUUACCAGAAUGAAGGAGGGCCAGGCUUUCGGGAGCUCAUCCCAGGAACGCCCUGUUCCUCACCCACCACCUCUUUCUGUGUGUGUCAAGGCCUACAGGCAACAUGCAGAGAGUGCAGGGAGGCUUCAGAGGAGGCUGCCUUGGGGCAAUUUUUGCCAGGGAGGAGAUGGAAGCCCACCCUGACCUCCUCUGGCUCUUGAGGUGACCUGGACUUCCUCUGUCGAAGAAUGUUGCCUCUUUCACGUGCUAAUCUCCCAUUCCAAGCUGGACCCCCUGACUGGGACCCCAAAGAGGGCUGUAUCUCCAGAGGCCGGCAAGAACCCAGCACAGGGCAGCCAUGGGGGCCAGGUGUUGGGUGAAUGAUAUCACUGAGCACCUGUUGCGUGCCGAACCCUUCACACACGAGUCCGGCGUUUAACAUCUUUCUUCUGGAAUGCUGGCUUUGCCAAGACUAGUGCAUAGCAAGCACUCCAGGAUUACGUGAUGGAAGUGCUGAGAUGAACUGUCACUCAGAGGAAAGAAGACUUCCUGAGGACGGGGCCUUAGCAGACUGAGCUCAUGAGACAGUAAAAAUAAGAAGAAAAUAAUAAUUGUCACUAUUUAUUAUGAUCCGGGAUCAUUAUUUAUUAUCAUUAUUUAUUAUGAUCCCAGAUCGUAAUAAAUGGUUCAUCUUCCCAGGGGGUUAGUACUGCUCUUGUGCCCAUCUCACAGAUGGGGGAACUGAGGCACAGAGAAGUAAAAGUAGAAACCCCAAGUCACACAGUCAGUGAGUGGCAGAGCCAGGAUUAGACCAACGCUGUUUGUCUGAGGAGACUGUCCUGAGCUUAUUACAACACACCUUCCAAAAAGAGAAGUGCUGAUGGCUGUACCCAUUUUGCAGAUGAGGAAGCAGAGGUUCUGAGAAGCGAAAGGGCUGGCCCGUGUCUGGAAGCAGAGAUGGUGGCUCAGCUGGAGACGCCCAAGGGAGCGCCCCAGCCUCCUGGGUUAGUGCUCUAAAGGAGGGGGGAGCUGUCCCCUGCCUGUUCUUGUGUCUGGCCAAUACCCCAGCCUCUGUUUACCCAGCCCAACACCCAAGAGCUGCCUCUUCCGCCUGCCCUGGAGUCUCGGGUGCCUUCACAAUAGGAUGCUCUGUCUGUGCAGCUGGUUUUCAUUCAAGCCCUUUGUGCUGAAAAUAAAAAAAUGAAAAGAAAACUUGGCUCCUCCCUCCCUGCUUUGCUUCCCAGGGAGAGAGGAUCCCAGCCUUUUCUUUCCCGCAUUCUGGGGCCCAGAGAUGUCCAUCGUCUGUCCAAGAUCACACAGCAGGGUUGGAGCCAGGACCUGGCCGUGGGCUUCUCAUCCAGUGCUCUGCUCACGGUCCCCGGCCUCUGGCUUCAAGGCCGGUCACCCCUUCCUGGCCCCUGCAUCUGCCUCUUCCUGACUCCGUCUUCCAGGCCUGCGGGGAGCAGAGGAAGUGGGGCUGAUGCUCCCCUAGGCUCUUGACGUGCCGGGUGCCCUGCCCCCCGCAGAUCACAGGCUCCUCACUGCAGUGCAGUGAGGUCUUGUCACGCCCCUCUGAACAGAGUAGGAAACCAAGGCUGCGGAAGGCAGAGGGCCUGAGGUCCCGCAGCUGGGGAGAACGGAGCUGGGAUUAGAGCUCGUGCUCCCACGGCUGAGUCGCUGCCGCACCUGGCACCUCAUCUGGGGCCCUUGAUGGAGGCCCUGGCCCUGGGGAUGAUGGAGGAUCCUGGAGG